RNAcentral lists this unclassified non-coding RNA (207 nucleotides) under fungal sp. RNAcentral's name for it is "partial internal transcribed spacer region". The stretch from base 1 to 46 matches the Rfam family "Eukaryotic small subunit ribosomal RNA", at positions 1786 to 1831 of the family's 1831-position model. Lineage: Eukaryota; Fungi. The record is from RNAcentral.
AAGUCGUAACAAGGUUUCCGUAGGUGAACCUGCGGAAGGAUCAUUAACACAAGUAAAAAAACAUUUUACAACACCCUAUUAUGAAUUUAAAUUUUUUAAUUUUUAAUUUUUUUAUAAAACUACAUUUAAUUUAUUUGACUAACAUUUUUUAAUUAAUUUAUUUAAAAUUUUAUAAAACAACUCUUAACAACGGAUAUCUUGGCUCUC